CUAGAGGAGCCUGUUCUAGAACCGAUAACCCCCGUUCAACCUCACCACCUCUUGUUUUCCCCGCCUAUAUACCACCGUCGUCAGCUUACCCUGUGAAGGCCCGAUAGUAAGCAAAAUGGGUAAAACCCAA
This 130-nucleotide ribosomal RNA is filed under the name Salvelinus confluentus (bull trout). RNAcentral describes it as "partial 12S ribosomal RNA". Lineage: Eukaryota; Metazoa; Chordata; Actinopteri; Salmoniformes; Salmonidae. The record is from RNAcentral.